AUGUUGCAAAUCGAAACAAUACUGUAAGUUUCACCCUAUAGUGUUUAUAAAGUAUCUACAAAUGCUGUAUUUGCCUACAUUCACUUCCCCUGAAUGUGAAGGAACAGAGUUUGUGUGCAUGUAUGGUAUAUCUCAAGUACAGGGUAUAUUUUGAGUGCCACUUACUGUUUACCCAAUAUCACACUCCUUACUUAUUUAAGAGAGUCCAGCAAGACGAGAUGGAGAAGAUUGAGCAGCACAUCAAAUCAUCCAAAGGCAAGAACGACGCAAAGCCAUUGGACAAGCCUGAACAAUACGAGCAAAUCUUUCCUCUGUGCCAAGUCUGUCCUGUUUGUGUUUCUCGCUCAAUUGCUGGUGAUAGGAAAGGUCAGGAGAAUGUCCCUCAUUUCUCUACAUCUUUCUCCUUUCCUUUCUCCUUCUCUUCUCUUCCUUCUCUCCCUCCCCUUCCUCUACCUCCAUGUCUUUCCCUUAGCUGUCUAUCAGACUCUGCAGAGUGAUCAGUGUGUGUUGCAGGUGCUAGGCCUCAUCUUAGCUUUUGGGAACUUCAUGAACGGAUGGAACCGAUCGCGUGGGCAGGCUGACGGCUUCACUCUGGACAUCCUGCCAAAACUCAAGGACAUCGAGAGCAGUGAUAACUGUCAGAGUCUUUUGUCAUACAUCGUUGCUUACUAUCUAAGGAACUUUGAUGAGGAUGCCGGUAGAGAGACCUGUGUCUACCCUCUCCCUGAACCCCAGGACCUCUUCCAGGCCUCUCAAAUGAAGUUUGACGACUUUCAGAGAGACCUACGCAAGCUAAGGAAAGAUCUUAAUGACUGAAAAUGGCAGAGGUCUUCAAUCAAGCCAGAGAGAAGGCUUCGUACAGCAUCCAACCCAAACAGUCUUCUGGAAUAAAAGCCAAACUGGGUCAGUAGAUCUGAGCCAAUGGACUGGUCUUAUCCAGGAUACGUUUGCACAAGUGAGAUCAACAAGCUUUUUAGCUAUUGUAUUGUGUUUAAAAAUAAUUGUUUAUUUCGGUCACCUAACUGGGUAUAUGUAUGCCUGACAUGUUGUCACCUUGUUGGAAAGUGUGAUAUUAACACAGUACCACACUUUGCCGUAAUCUGUCAAUGAUGCAUUUCCCCCAGUUCCAAACAGCGCAUUCUGCUGUCCAAAGUAAGAAUGUAGAUUUAAUUAAAGAGCUAAUAAUUUUUGGACAGGUGCCAUUGUAAAGAGAAAUACAUUGUUUUACAGUGAGACAUGUGUUGUGGUAUCAGCCUGUCCCCUGUGGCUAUAGAUAAGACACCAGUUAAGACAAUCAUGUUUUACAGAGAAAAUAAGCUAUUUAUAUCAAUCUCUGCACUGCCUUCAAGUAUAAAGAGGAGCACAAAAGUGGGCCUAUAUAAAUAUUUGCCUACCGGAUAGCAAGUGCCUAGUUAAAGACAAAUGAGCCAAUUAAAUUCAACUAAAUUACUCUGUCAAUACAACCUGUAUGGAAACCAGUCCUGCUCAGUAAAAACCUGCAUUGUGACAAUCAUCAGUUUAUCAUACACCAUAGUUCAAGAAUGAUACGUGAUGUACAGUUGUGGUUUAUGCAAUAAAUCAUGAAAUGAACCGUGACUUGAGCUUAGCUGCUAAGGCAUUUAGUACGUCAUCAGGACAUCUCAUCAUCCUCUAUUUUUUUGAUUAGCUACAGCGCCUCACUUCUUCUACAUUUAGUUGUGUUACAGAAUGGGAUUCAAAUGGAUUUCACUGCCCUGUUUUUGUCAAUGAUCUACACAAAAUACUCUGUAAUGUCAAAGUGGCUUUUUGUUUUGAACAUUUCUAAAAGAUGAAUGAAAAAUAAAACACUAAUAUCUUUAUUAGAUAAGUAUUCACCCCCCUGAGUCAAUACACCUUUGGCAGUGAUUACAGCUGUGUGUCUUUUGGGGUAAGUUUCUAAGAGUUUUUGCCCAUUAUAAUUUGUUUAAUUCUUCCAGCUAUGUCAAAUUUGUUGUUGAUUAUUGCUGGACAACCAUUUUCAGAUCUUGACAUAGAUUAUCAAGCAGAUUUUAAGUCAAUACUGAAACUCGGCCACUCAGGAAGAUUCACUGUCUUCUUGGUAAGCAACUCCAGCGUAGAUUUGGCCUUGUGUUUUAGGUUAUUGUCCUGCUGAAAGGUGAAUUCAUCUCCCAGUGUCUGGUGGAAAGCAGACUGAACUAGGUUUUCCUCUAGAAUUAUGCAUGUGCUUUGCAACAUUCCGUAUCUUUUCAAGCUUUCUCUGCCCUUAAUCUCGUUCUGAACACCUCCAAAAUGAGGGUCAUGUGGUUUGAUAAGAAGAAUGUCCCUCUUCCCACCGGUGUGGUUACUACCUGUGAGGGUUUAGAGCUUGAGGUAGUCACUUCAUACAAGUACUUGGGAGUAUGGCUAGACGGUACACUGACCUUCUCUCAGCGCAUAUCAAAGCUGCAGGCUGAGGUUAAAUCUAGACUUGGUUUCCUCUAUCGUAAUCGCUCCUCUUUCACCAUAACUGCCAAUCUAACCCUGAAUCAGAUGACCAUCCUACCCAUGCUAGAUUACGGAGACAUAAUUUAUAGAUCGGCAGGUAAGGCUGCUCUCGAGCAGCUAGAUGUUCUUUACCAGUCGGCCAAAAGUUGUGUCACUCUCCUUAUAGGACACAUCACUGCACUCUAUACUCCUCUGUAAACUGGUCGUCUCUGUAUACCUGUCGCAAGCCCCACUGGUUGAUGCUUAUUUCUAAAACACUCUUAGGCCUCACUCCCCCCUAUCUGAGAUACCUACUGCAGCCCUCAUCCUCCACAUACAACACCCAUUCUGCCAGUCACAUUCUUUCUUUGGUCCACCAAAGCACACACAUCCCUGAGUUGCUCUUCUUUUCAAUUCGCUGCAGCUAGCGACUGGAACGAGCUGCAAUAAAACACUCAAACUGGACCGUUUUUAUCUCCAUCUCGUCAUUCAAAGACUCAAUCAUGGACACUCUUACUGCUUGGCGUGAUGUAUUGCUGUCUCUUCUUCUUUCCCUUUGUGCUGUUGUCUGUGCUCAAUAAUGUUUGUACCAUGUUUUGCGCUUCUACCAUGUUGUGCUGCUGCCAUGUUGUGUUGCUACCAUGUUGUUGUGAUCUUGUGUUUUCAUGGGUUGCUGCCAUGCUAUGUUGUUGUAUUAGGUCUCUCUUCAUGUAGUGUUGUGGUGCAUCUCUUGUCGUGAUGUGUGUUUUGUCCUAUAUUUUUAUUUAAUUUUUAAUCCCAGCCCCCGCAAAAGGAGGCCUUUUGCCUUCUGGUAAAUAAGAAUUUGUUCUUAACUGACUUGCCUAGUUAAAUAAAUGAAAAUGAAAAAUAAAAUGUAGUUGUUGAG
Long non-coding RNA from Oncorhynchus keta (chum salmon), 3328 nucleotides. RefSeq lists it as uncharacterized. The record is from RefSeq and is a predicted model, not a curated record. The transcript is spliced from 5 exons. NCBI's taxonomy places the organism in Eukaryota, Metazoa, Chordata, Actinopteri, Salmoniformes, Salmonidae.